GCAGUCGAACGGCAGCGCGGACUUCGGUCUGGCGGCGAGUGGCGAACGGGGUGAGUAAUACAUCGGAACGUACCCUGUUGUGGGGGGUAACUAUUUCGAAAGAUUAGCUAAUACCGCAUACGACCUGAGGGUGAAAGCGGGGGACCGUAAGGCCUCGCGCAGCAGGAGCGGCCGAUGUCUGAUUAGCUAGUUGGUGGGGUAAAGGCCCACCAAGGCGACGAUCAGUAGCUGGUCUGAGAGGACGAUCAGCCACACUGGGACUGAGACACGGCCCAGACUCCUACGGGAGGCAGCAGUGGGGAAUUUUGGACAAUGGGGGCAACCCUGAUCCAGCAAUGCCGCGUGUGUGAAGAAGGCCUUCGGGUUGUAAAGCACUUUUGUCCGGAAAGAAAACGUUCUGGUUAAUACCUGGGGCGGAUGACGGUACCGGAAGAAUAAGCACCGGCUAACUACGUGCCAGCAGCCGCGGUAAUACGUAGGGUGCGAGCGUUAAUCGGAAUUACUGGGCGUAAAGCGUGCGCAGGCGGUUUUGUAAGACAGGCGUGAAAUCCCCGAGCUCAACUUGGGAAUUGCGCUUGUGACUGCAAGGCUAGAGUAUGUCAGAGGGGGGUAGAAUUCCACGUGUAGCAGUGAAAUGCGUAGAGAUGUGGAGGAAUACCGAUGGCGAAGGCAGCCCCCUGGGACAUCACUGACGCUCAUGCACGAAAGCGUGGGGAGCAAACAGGAUUAGAUACCCCUGGUAGUCCACGCCCCUAAACGAUGUCUACUAGUUGCCGGGU
This 779-nucleotide ribosomal RNA is filed under the name uncultured beta proteobacterium. RNAcentral's name for it is "bacterial SSU rRNA". It matches the Rfam family "Bacterial small subunit ribosomal RNA", at positions 57 to 828 of the family's 1533-position model. The record is from RNAcentral. Lineage: Bacteria; Pseudomonadati; Pseudomonadota; Betaproteobacteria.